UACGUAGGGGGCAAGCGUUGUCCGGAAUCAUUGGGCGUAAAGCGCGUGUAGGCGGCUUCGUAAGUCCGUUGUGAAAGUCCAGGGCUCAACCCUGGAAAGCCGAUGGAUACUGCGGAGCUAGAGUCCGGAAGAGGCGAGUGGAAUUCCUGGUGUAGCGGUGAAAUGCGCAGAUAUCAGGAGGAACACCAAUGGCGAAGGCAGCUCGCUGGGACGGUACUGACGCUGAGACGCGAAAGCGUGGGGAGCAAACAGG
This 253-nucleotide ribosomal RNA is filed under the name uncultured bacterium. RNAcentral's name for it is "partial 16S ribosomal RNA". It matches the Rfam family "Bacterial small subunit ribosomal RNA", at positions 524 to 776 of the family's 1533-position model. The record is from RNAcentral.